GAUGAACGCUGGCUACAGGCUUAACACAUGCCAGUCGAGGGGAAACGACGGGGAAGCUUGCUUCCCCGGGCGUCGACCGGCGCACGGGUGAGUAACGCGUAUCCAACCUGCCUCUGACUGAGGGAUAACCCGUCGAAAGUCGGCCUAAUACCUCAUGGCAUCGUCUGCGGGCAUCCAACGACGAUUAAAGAUUUCAUCGGUCAGAGAUGGGGAUGCGUCUGAUUAGCUUGUUGGCGGGGUAACGGCCCACCAAGGCGACGAUCAGUAGGGGUUCUGAGAGGAAGGUCCCCCACAUUGGAACUGAGACACGGUCCAAACUCCUACGGGAGGCAGCAGUGAGGAAUAUUGGUCAAUGGGCGAGAGCCUGAACCAGCCAAGUAGCGUGCAGGAGGACGGCCCUAUGGGUUGUAAACUGCUUUUAUGCGGGGAUAAAGUGAGGGACGUGUCCUUCAUUGCAGGUACCGCAUGAAUAAGGACCGGCUAAUUCCGUG
This 491-nucleotide ribosomal RNA is filed under the name uncultured bacterium. RNAcentral's name for it is "partial 16S ribosomal RNA". It matches the Rfam family "Bacterial small subunit ribosomal RNA", at positions 28 to 507 of the family's 1533-position model. The record is from RNAcentral.